This 443-nucleotide ribosomal RNA is filed under the name uncultured bacterium. RNAcentral describes it as "partial 16S ribosomal RNA". It matches the Rfam family "Bacterial small subunit ribosomal RNA", at positions 338 to 795 of the family's 1533-position model. The record is from RNAcentral.
CCUACGGGUGGCAGCAGUGGGGAAUAUUGGGCAAUGGGCGCAAGCCUGACCCAGCAACGCCGCGUGAAGGAAGAAGGCCUUCGGGUUGUAAACUUCUUUUGUCAGGGACGAAGCAAGUGACGGUACUUGACGAACAAGUUACGGCUAACUACGUGCAAGCAGCCGCGGUAAUACGUAGGUGGCAAGCGUUAACCGGAUUUACUGGGUGUAAAGGGCGUGUAGGCGGGACUGCAAGUCAGAUGUGAAAACCACGGGCUCAACCUGUGGCCUGCAUUUGAUACUGUAGUUCUUGAGUACUGGAGAGGCAGACAGAAUUCCAGGUGUAGCGGUGAAAUGCGUAGAUAUUAGGAGGAACACCAGUGGCGAAGGCGGUCUGCUGGACGGCGACUGACGCUGAGGCGCGAAAGCGUGGGGAGCAAACAGGAUUAGAUACCCGGGUAGUC